Molecule: unclassified non-coding RNA, 203 nt
Filed under: rice transitory yellowing virus
Lineage: Riboviria; Orthornavirae; Negarnaviricota; Monjiviricetes; Mononegavirales; Rhabdoviridae
Description: Rice yellow stunt nucleorhabdovirus miscellaneous RNA
Source: RNAcentral
ACACCACCAGAUACAUUCUGUAAAUAGUUUGCUGUGGUUGCUUAGGGAAUAGGCAUAGAAUACAACCAUGGUUAUAAGAUAGAGCAGGUGUAUCUGGGGUAACGGCGGAGACCCGUGACGGCGCCGCUACUCAGAUAUCUACCUAGGUAGAAGAAGGUUGCAGGGACACAUUGCAUAUGUCAAUAAGAGAUAGGAUUUAAAAA